This 290-nucleotide ribosomal RNA is filed under the name uncultured Chloroflexota bacterium. Its description in RNAcentral is "uncultured Chloroflexi bacterium partial 16S ribosomal RNA". It matches the Rfam family "Bacterial small subunit ribosomal RNA", at positions 28 to 310 of the family's 1533-position model. The record is from RNAcentral. Lineage: Bacteria; Bacillati; Chloroflexota.
GAUGAACGCUGGCGGCGUGCUUAAUACAUGCAAGUCGAACGGAGAGCCUUUGUAGCAAUACGAGGGUUUCUUAGUGGCGAACGGGUGCGUAACGCGUUGGUGACCUGCCCCAAAGUGUGGGAUAACAGUCCGAAAGGAUUGCUAAUACCGCAUGUGGUCCUCCGGGUUAGAGGCUGGAGGUCUAAAGCAGUAAUGCGCUUUGGGAGGGACCUGCGUCCCAUCAGCUAGUUGGUGAGGUAACGGCUCACCAAGGCUACGACGGGUAGGGGACCUGAGAGGGUGGUCCCCCA